AUUGAACGCUGGCGGCAGGCCUAACACAUGCAAGUCGAACGAGUGGCGGACGGGUGAGUCAUGUCUGGGAAACUGCCCGAUGGAGGGGGGUAACUACUGGAAACGGUAGCUAAUACCGCAUACCAUCGGAUGUGCCCAGAUGGGAUUAGCUAGUAGGUGGGGUAACGGCUCACCUAGGCGCCGAUCCCUAGCUGGUCGGAGAGGAUGACCAGACACAAUGGAACUUAAACACGGGCCGGACUCCUACGGGAGGAGGCAGUGGGUAAUAUGGCAAAAUGGGCGCAAGCCUGAUGCAGCCAUGCCGCGUGGAUGAAGAAGGCUUUCGGGGUGUAAAGUACUUUCAGCGAGGAGGCGUUACUCGCAGAAGAAGCACCGGCUAACUCCGUGCCAGCAGCCGCGGUAAUAC
This 406-nucleotide ribosomal RNA is filed under the name uncultured bacterium. RNAcentral describes it as "partial 16S ribosomal RNA". It matches the Rfam family "Bacterial small subunit ribosomal RNA", at positions 30 to 526 of the family's 1533-position model. The record is from RNAcentral.